This 406-nucleotide ribosomal RNA is filed under the name uncultured bacterium. RNAcentral's name for it is "partial 16S ribosomal RNA". It matches the Rfam family "Bacterial small subunit ribosomal RNA", at positions 30 to 526 of the family's 1533-position model. The record is from RNAcentral.
AUUGAACGCUGGCGGCAGGCUUAACACAUGCAAGUCGAGCGCGCGGCGGACGGGUGAGUAAUGUCUGGGAAACUGCCUUAUUGAGGGGGAUAACUACUGGAAACGGUAGCUAAUACCGCAUACCAUCAGAUGUGCCCAUAUGGGAUUAGCUAGUGGGUGGGGUAAUGGCUCCCCUCGGCGACGAUCCCUAGCUGGUCUGAGAGGAUGACCAGCCACACGGGAACUGAGAAACGGCAAGGACUCCUACGGGAGGCAGCAGUGGGGAAUAUUGCACAAUGGGCGCAAGCCUGAUGCAGCCAUGCCGCGUGUAUGAAGAAGGCACUCGGGUUGUAAAGUACUUUCAGCGAGGAGGCGUUACUGGCAGAAGAAGCACCGGCUAACUCCGUGCCAGCAGCCGCGGUAAUAC